AUGCAACUAUUCCAGGAUAUCCUGGAGACGUGUGACUUGGCCGACCUGGGUUUUAUUGGGGUCCUGUACACAUAUGAUAACAAGAGAAGCGGGCACGCAAACGUGAAAGUUCAGCUGGAUAGGGCGGUUGCGAAUCCCGCUUGGAGGAAUAUUUUCUUUAACACCCUAGUAAGCCACCUUGCUUCUCCCUGUUCGGAUCACGUGCCUGUUCAUGUGUUCUAUGAUGAGGUGGGUGAUAGGCCAACUAAGCCAAGGCGCAGGCAAUAUGAGAUUAUGUGGGAAAGAGAACAUGCGCUACAGGACUUGAUUGCAAAGGCCUGGCUGGAGGCAGGGGAGAAAGCAUCCCUAGGGGACGUGCACGCGGCCUUAUGGGAUACGAUGAAAACGUUGUGCAAAUGGAGUAAGGAGAACUUUGGCGGUGUAGCUCGGGAAAUUGAAAAGUCAAGGACUCAGCUUGAGGAACUCAUGUUGAUGAAUGCAGACAGAUGUGAGAUUCGUAAGGUAACACAUAGAAUGAAUGAGUUACUCUACAGAGAAGAGUUAAUGUGGAUGCAACGAUCCCGUAUUACUUGGCUUAAGGAAGGGGACCGAAAUACAAAAAAAAUUCAAUCAAAGGCUGUGUGGAGAGCUAGAAAGAACCGUAUAAAAAUGUUGGGGAACAUAGUAAUUUCAAAAAAAAUUCCUACGUACACGCAAGAUCACGGUGAUGGCAUAGCAACGAGAGGGGAGAGUGUUGUCCACGUACCCUCGUAG
This 753-nucleotide ribosomal RNA is filed under the name Triticum aestivum (bread wheat). Its description in RNAcentral is "partial small subunit ribosomal RNA". Lineage: Eukaryota; Viridiplantae; Streptophyta; Magnoliopsida; Poales; Poaceae. The record is from RNAcentral.